Molecule: ribosomal RNA, 253 nt
Filed under: uncultured bacterium
Lineage: Bacteria
Description: partial 16S ribosomal RNA
Rfam family: Bacterial small subunit ribosomal RNA
Source: RNAcentral
UACGUAGGUGGCGAGCGUUGUCCGGAUUUACUGGGCGUAAAGAGCGCGCAGGCGGCUGGUCAAGUCCGAUGUGAAAGCUCCCGGCUUAACUGGGAAAUUGCAUCGGAAACUGAUCGGCUGGAAGGUGGGAGAGGGUAGCGGAAUUCCCGGUGUAGUGGUGAAAUGCGUAGAUAUCGGGAGGAACACCAGUGGCGAAGGCGACUCGCUGGGCCUAUUCUGACGCUCAGACGCGAAAGCAUGGGGAGCGAACGGG